Molecule: ribosomal RNA, 397 nt
Filed under: uncultured Neocallimastigomycetes
Lineage: Eukaryota; Fungi; Neocallimastigomycota; Neocallimastigomycetes
Description: eukaryotic LSU rRNA
Rfam family: Eukaryotic large subunit ribosomal RNA
Source: RNAcentral
GUUUUACCUUGACGAAUUGUAGUUUAAAGAAGUGUUUUCUGUUGGUGUUUUGGUAGAAGUUCUUUGGAAUAGGACAUCAUAGAGGGUGAGAAUCCCGUAUUUGACCAUUACUUCCAGCGUUGUGAUACACUUUCAAAGAGUCGGAUUGUUUGGGAAUGCAGUCCAAAAUGGGUGGUAAAUUUCAUCUAAAGCUAAAUAUUGGCGAGAGACCGAUAGCGAACAAGUACCGUGAGGGAAAGAUGAAAAGAACUUUGAAAAGAGAGUUAAACAGUACGUGAAAUUGUCAAAAGGGAAGCGUUUGACACCAGUGUUGUUUUCUCGAAAAUCAAUUAAAAAGAGUUGGAUUUUGUAUUGUUAAGACCUUAUCAGCUUACCGUACUUUUUUCUUGCUCUUUUU